UGGGGAACACAGUGCAGUCUAUUUCAAAUCAGUCUUACGUCAAUUUCAAAUCUACGACUCGUGGCAUAGCUAUAUCAAAGUCGACGAUGUCAAUUUCACUGAUAUGUAUCAUGUAUAUUUCACAUUAGUUUCACGAGCUAACAUGCUCAUUGUUUUUCUUUCAUGAUGUACAUAGCAAAAAAUAUGACUUAUUCCUUGUUGCAAAUUCUUCCUUUGACUGAACACGAUAAUGGAAACAUAUGAAUGUUUUCGACAGGUGCUGUCGCUUACCAGGACCUUUUUGUGUGUUUAUAAAAACCAUGAAUUGCAUUGUUAUAGAAAACGAAGUUUGUUGUAAACAUUUCGCCUCAGCGGAUCGCUACAGUGAUAGGACUUGCUAUGGAUUAACAAGACCCCCUUCCAGUUUGUUCGUGGUUCAGAGCGGACCGAAAUAUCCUUAUUCAGCACAUACAUCCAGGACAACCCAGAAAUCAGGAAGAAGGUCAGUGAUGGUCAAGGUGGUCAACAGUGUAACCCAUGGGACCACGUGGGAAAAGACUUCCACGCUACCCACGAAACCAGUGUUGCCCUUAACCCUGAAAAGCUGCAGGCCCUAAGGACCCAGAACCAUAAAAAGUUGUGGGUCCUGAUCAGAAAGUGUUGGCCUUAUAUUUUAGUAUGGAAAUAAUACUUUUAGUUAUUGGGGAUGAAAAAGCUGUCGGCCAUAAGGACCUGCAGAAAACAAAAGCUGUGGGUCCGAGAGGUUUUCAGUCGUCUUCGGACCUAAGGACCGACGUUAAUUUCGAACGCUGCACGAAACAGUUCCAAAUCGAAGGAUAUUUUAAACAAACAUAAACUGCCUGUAAAGAAAGUUUAAACCUAUGUUUGAUCGUAGCUAAAAUGCAACACAUCGGAAAUGGUUAUUCGAUGAUGAUGUAUUUAACUUUGAGAGGCAUUUAGAAGUUGGAGCAGUAAGGAAGGAUAACAGUAUAUGGUUGAACACCUUCUUUACUACAGCGAGAGCGACGUUUUUGUGCAGGUUAUACUUGCUUGAUAAUGGUGUUAGAACCUACACAGAGACGUCGCUGUAAUAAAGACGUUGUUCAUCCAUAUAUUGUUAUCCUUUCUUGGCGAUGUAUUUGAUACGGUAUCGCGGUGUUUUGGACCUUACGUUUGGAAUGUCUUGGAGACUAAUGUUUUGGUAAAGUUUGCAAUUU
This is a long non-coding RNA of Haliotis rubra (blacklip abalone), 1196 nucleotides long. RefSeq lists it as uncharacterized. The transcript has 3 exons. The record is from RefSeq and is a predicted model, not a curated record. Lineage: Eukaryota; Metazoa; Mollusca; Gastropoda; Lepetellida; Haliotidae.